CUGCCAUAAAAUAAGAAAGAGAGAAAUAGAAGAGGAGAAUGGAGAAGAUGCAGAAUCUCACCAUCGUUGUCUCUUCUUCCUCUCCCUUUCCGCACGUAAAUGCCAUUAUCAUUGUCAUCAAGUUAAAAUCUUGAAACUGGGAGCGUCGGAAGGUUGAGAGACGUGGGCAAAGGUGACCGAGUAAACAGAGCAUUACAAGACGAGCGCACAAAGUGGUAGCUUGGGCUACUUCUGUCCAACUUUGCCUCUCACCAUCUUCCGCUGUCCAUCACUCCCUUCCUCCCUCUUGCUUUUAUCUGCAUUGGUUGAAGACUCUUCUUUCGACUGGAUUGAGCCAUUUAUCCGUCGGGGUUUGCUCGAGAGGACUAGGGGAGUGCCCAUUACUUCCUUCUUCGCCAGUUCAAUAUGAUCGGUAGUCUCAUCAUGAGAAACCUUGCGGGUGAGGUCGUUGGAAGUGGACUUGGAGAAGUAGAAGGUGGUGAUGGUUGGAGACAACAUCACUCCAUUUGAAGUCCUCAAUGGUGUAUCAAAGGUUAUGCUUGCAAAGUUGUGGCUAGACCCUUAGUUAAUUGAUUUCUUAGCAAGGAUGAUAUAAACAAAACUAAAUGCAAACUUAUUCUCUCUAGUAUGUUUUCUAGUAACUAAAAAAAAUCUUGGCAUCAAUCUAUUUGAAAUGCAAGAAAAUUUAUCUAAGUACUUUUUGAUGAGGUUUUGAUGUCAUUGUAUCAGUUUGUAAUAGAAGAGGCAAAGCU
Zingiber officinale is the source of this 752-nucleotide long non-coding RNA. RefSeq lists it as uncharacterized. The record is from RefSeq and is a predicted model, not a curated record. The transcript has 3 exons. NCBI's taxonomy places the organism in Eukaryota, Viridiplantae, Streptophyta, Magnoliopsida, Zingiberales, Zingiberaceae.